This is a long non-coding RNA of Ruditapes philippinarum (Manila clam), 359 nucleotides long. RefSeq lists it as uncharacterized. NCBI's taxonomy places the organism in Eukaryota, Metazoa, Mollusca, Bivalvia, Venerida, Veneridae. The record is from RefSeq and is a predicted model, not a curated record. The transcript is spliced from 4 exons.
AUAGGAGUUAUGAAGGGACUUAUAAAUACUCGCAUGAAAGACACCUGUGCGCAUUAACAGUUUUCAAUUGGAGGAAAAAACAACAUUUCACAAGAAUAAAUGUGCAAAAGUAACAAAGUGUUAAAUUGAAGAAAUGAUUCACUCACUUCUGCGGGUGGUUAUUCUCCUGAGUUUACAUGAAGGAUGUCACGUGAAGGCGGACUCGUGUUCCUGUCCUAACCCACCCACGUCAAGCACGUCAGGGUUCACAUCAGUAGAUUAUCUACAACAGUAUAAUGACGUCGACGUCAUUAAUCCAGGACGUGGAAUGUACCAUAUGGUGGAAGCUAAUUCGUCUAACUUCAAGCCACUAAAUGCAA